Molecule: long non-coding RNA, 1554 nt
Organism: Eublepharis macularius
Lineage: Eukaryota; Metazoa; Chordata; Lepidosauria; Squamata; Eublepharidae
Exons: 4
Source: RefSeq, a predicted model, not a curated record
AAGCCAAUUAGUCGCCAUGGAAAUACCUUCCCACCUCCAUUAACUGCUGUGGAAAAGGGAAAACAGUCCGGGUGGACUCAAGAAAUAUAUGUCGCUCGCUGAACUCUGGCGGCGGCUGGCCCUGCUGCCCGGUGUGGAGCCUCCCGCGGGGCUUGGCCCUGGGCCCUUUGCUAUCUGCCGAUAAGGGGUUGGGCGUGUGGGGCAUGAGGCGCGCUUUGCGGCCGGGGACGCUGCUACUGGGUCCGCGGGAAGAAGAGUUGGAGACGAUUGUGAUAGCCUGAGACUGUGUGCUGCCCAUGGUUGCCUUGCCAACGAGUUUCCAUGAUAAGAGUGACGCUCCCAGAUCCUUGUCCAAUAGAACCUUGUCGAGCUUUAAAAAUUGAUAUAGUCCGUGAGAAGAUGUCAUAUCCGAGUAGAGAUGAGUUAAGAAAAAUAGCAGUUGCCAAAGUGCUCUUCUGUGUGGUGAUUCAAGAUAUUUCCAUCUCUUUGCAGGAAAGAGGCUUCUACUUAUAAUAAGGUAUCCAGCUGGAAGAGGCUAAAAGAACAAACUUUUUUUUAUUUUUAAAAAUUAUUUUAUUAGUGCAAAACAGAAAAAAUAAAAAGCAAACAGAAAAAAAGAAAACCUUGCAGGCUGCAAAAAAAAACCUAUUAGGUUUCCAAAUAUCCAAAAAUCCAUACACAGUUGUUGUCUAUAUGCAAUAUGUUCAAAUGUUGUUAAGUUUAUAAGGUCUUCAGUCCACUGAAUUAUAGGAAGUGGGCCUUUGUUUUUCCAGUGCUGAAGUAUAAGUCUUUUAGCAACUGUAAGGGCACAGAGGAUCCAGUUCCGUUGACCUUCAGUUAGAUUCCAAGAGACAGGCAAAUAGUUCAACAGUACAGUAACAUCCUCAAAAAUAAAUGAGUUUUCUAAUACAAAAUUAAAAUGUCUAAUAACAUUCUCCCAAAAGGGCUGAAUGACUUUCCAAAGCAUAUGCGUAAGAGAGAUAUCUUGUGAAUUAUACCAUCAACAGUUAGACACUGUGCUUAAACCUUUAGUAAAAAGGUGCUGUGGUGUCCAACAUACCCUAAACAUAAUUUUUGCUGAAUAAGUCACAACUUAAGAUACAUAGCAACAACAGGUAUAUGGCUUAAAGCCUUAUCCCAUGGUUUUAUUCCAUUCAAGAUUACGUGUAUCAUAUUUAUUAAUUGACCUCAAAUUUAUGUACAAAUAUUGUAGGUUUUGUUUUUGUCAGAUUGUAUAUAUAUUCUGCCUUUUACUAAAAAGAACAGAAACAUGAUGAUAAUGUACAAUCUUCUUAACAGCAUUCCCUGCAAGUUCCAUAAAUCACAUUGAGAACCUUUCGCUUUGAAGCAAUAUGAAAAUAUGUUUAAACAAAUACAUAUAAUGAGCUAGAUGGUUGGCUAAAAUAGCUCAAAUCAUAAUAACCCAUUUGGGUGAAUUCAUGGAUCCUGUUUUUAAUAAUAAUAAGUUGGUUGUGUGAAUUCAUGUACCUCGUCUUCCCAUAAACCAUAUUUGUAGCUGAGCUUAAAAUUAAAUUGUUGGAAAUCAGAUCUUAA